This 64-nucleotide transfer RNA is filed under the name Magallana gigas (Pacific oyster). RNAcentral describes it as "Crassostrea gigas (Pacific oyster) tRNA". It matches the Rfam family "tRNA". From Rfam's summary of the family: Transfer RNA (tRNA) molecules are approximately 80 nucleotides in length. Their secondary structure includes four short double-helical elements and three loops (D, anti-codon, and T loops). Further hydrogen bonds mediate the characteristic L-shaped molecular structure. tRNAs have two regions of fundamental functional importance: the anti-codon, which is responsible for specific mRNA codon recognition, and the 3' end, to which the tRNAs corresponding amino acid is attached (by aminoacyl-tRNA synthetases). tRNAs cope with the degeneracy of the genetic code in two manners: having more than one tRNA (with a specific anti-codon) for a particular amino acid; and 'wobble' base-pairing, i.e. permitting non-standard base-pairing at the 3rd anti-codon position. The record is from Rfam by way of RNAcentral. Lineage: Eukaryota; Metazoa; Mollusca; Bivalvia; Ostreida; Ostreidae.
ACAUAUAUAGCCCAGUGGGUAGAGCACCUGACAAGAGAUUCAGGGUUCAAAUCCUUUGGAUGUA